AGAGUUUGAUCCUGGCUCAGGAUGAACGCCGGCGGUGUGCCUAAUACAUGCAAGUCGUACGCACUGGCCCAACUGAUUGAUGGUGCUUGCACUUGAUUGACGUUGGAUCACCAGUGAGUGGCGGACGGGUGAGUAACACGUAGGUAACCUGCCCCGGAGCGGGGGAUAACAUUUGGAAACAGAUGCUAAUACCGCAUAACAACAAAAGCCACAUGGCUUUUGUUUGAAAGAUGGCUUUGGCUAUCACUCCGGGAUGGACCUGCGGUGCAUUAGCUAGUUGGUAAGGUAACGGCUUACCAAGGCGAUGAUGCAUAGCCGAGUUGAGAGACUGAUCGGCCACAAUGGAACUGAGACACGGUCCAUACUCCUACGGGAGGCAGCAGUAGGGAAUCCUCCACAAUGGGCGCAAGCCUGAUGGAGCAACACCGCGUGAGUGAAGAAGGGUUUCGGCUCGUAAAGCUCUGUUGUUGGAGAAGAACGUGCGUGAGAGUAACUGUUCACGCAGUGACGGUAUCCAACCAGAAAGUCACGGCUAACUACGUGCCAGCAGCCGCGGUAAUACGUAGGUGGCAAGCGUUAUCCGGAUUUAUUGGGCGUAAAGCGAGCGCAGGCGGUUGCUUAGGUCUGAUGUGAAAGCCUUCGGCUUAACCGAAGAAGUGCAUCGGAAACCGGGCGACUUGAGUGCAGAAGAGGACAGUGGAACUCCAUGUGUAGCGGUGGAAUGCGUAGAUAUAUGGAAGAACACCAGUGGCGAAGGCGGCUGUCUGGUCUGCAACUGACGCUGAGGCUCGAAAGCAUGGGUAGCGAACAGGAUUAGAUACCCUGGUAGUCCAUGCCGUAAACGAUGAGUGCUAGGUGUUGGAGGGUUUCCGCCCUUCAGUGCCGGAGCUAACGCAUUAAGCACUCCGCCUGGGGAGUACGACCGCAAGGUUGAAACUCAAAGGAAUUGACGGGGGCCCGCACAAGCGGUGGAGCAUGUGGUUUAAUUCGAAGCUACGCGAAGAACCUUACCAGGUCUUGACAUCUUGCGCUAACCUUAGAGAUAAGGCGUUCCCUUCGGGGACGCAGUGACAGGUGGUGCAUGGUCGUCGUCAGCUCGUGUCGUGAGAUGUUGGGUUAAGUCCCGCAACGAGCGCAACCCUUGUUACUAGUUGCCAGCAUUAAGUUGGGCUCUCUAGUGAGACUGCCGGUGACAAACCGGAGGAAGGUGGGGACGACGUCAGAUCAUCAUGCCCCUUAUGACCUGGGCUACACACGUGCUACAAUGGACGGUACAACGAGUUGCAAACUCGCGAGAGCAAGCUAAUCUCUUAAAGCCGUUCUCAGUUCGGACUGUAGGCUGCAACUCGCCUACACGAAGUCGGAAUCGCUAGUAAUCGCGGAUCAGCAUGCCGCGGUGAAUACGUUCCCGGGCCUUGCACACACCGCCCGUCA
Molecule: ribosomal RNA, 1434 nt
Filed under: uncultured bacterium
Lineage: Bacteria
Description: 16S ribosomal RNA
Rfam family: Bacterial small subunit ribosomal RNA
Source: RNAcentral